Long non-coding RNA from Frankliniella occidentalis (western flower thrips), 2708 nucleotides. RefSeq lists it as uncharacterized. The transcript is spliced from 5 exons. Lineage: Eukaryota; Metazoa; Arthropoda; Insecta; Thysanoptera; Thripidae. The record is from RefSeq and is a predicted model, not a curated record.
UGUUUGCUCCUUUGUCCCGCAGAGACAUCGUGCAACGACUUCAAGUGCAAGACCAGGGAGUUCUGCAUCCACACGGACCUGGUCUGCGACGGCGUCAGCCACUGCGCGGACGGCAGCGACGAGACCGCCAGCGAGAAAUGCGGACGUGGCGAGAUCGGGCUGGUCCUGGGAAUGUCCGUCACCUACCUGGUGGUGGCGUGCGUGUCCGCCGUGCUCAUCCUGGGGCUGGCCGGCGUCGGCGUGGUGGUGUGCUUCUACCGGCAAGGCCCGGGACCGGCUCAAAUGGGCGCCAACUCCUUCCAACCGGUGCACCACGGCGGUCUCAACGGCACGGGCCACACAGGCCCGGGGCUGAACCACGGCCACACCAGCCUGACCCGCGGCGGCGCGGGCCCGCUGGGGGCGCUGGGACCGCCGCAGCCGCUGGGAGGGCCGCCGGCGCACACCCUCUCUCUGAUGCAGCCGGGAAACUGGUUAUGCCCUGUGGGAACACAGCUCGGGUACAGCGCGGUGUGGGCCCACCUCUACUACUGCCUGGCAAAGUGAGGAGUGAUGGCUCAGACAGCGACAUCUCCUCCAGCCAAAAGGACGAAUGGUUUGUUUAGAGGUAGGCCCUGCCGAGUGUCUUGCAGGGUGAAGCCCGUGCCGAGGGACGUACCCACCCUCGGCCGGCAGCGCAACCAGCUCGGGUGGUUGCGAACGAUUCAACUUAGGGAGCCGCUGGCCGCGUGGCGCGCACGGCGUUCCCACGGCCAACACAACACAACACGCUGGCCGCGACGCCGCACGGACGCGCGCACGUGCAAGGCGGUGCUGAAGACUGACGCUGCUCUCGCUUGCAUUCCGUCUCCCGCCCGCGUGCAGCGGCGAGGACACGAGUGACAAUAGUGCGUGCGGAUAGGACGCGGCGCAGAGAGCCCUAAAUAGUACAAUUUUUAGUUAAUUCUGGACAUGAGCGCCGCCUCUCCACACGAUGGUGCAACGUGAUUAAAACGCGUCUCCAACUUGUAAAAAAGAAAAGCAAAGAUAUAUCACGUGGAUUUUUUUUGUUGGUGUGUAAAUCGAUACGAUCGUUUGCAUAAUUGUACUAUUGAUAGUUUAUAGAUGUUUUACCACUUUUCAUUUUGUUACCAAGCAGAUUUUAUAGAUGUGUGUAUAUAAAGCGCUGCGGUAGCUCAAAUAGACUUAUCAGUGAAUGUAAUUGUUUUGUUUUUUGUUGUUUGUUUUGUCUUGUUAAGCAAUGGCUCUAAAUGGAUUGGCUAAUGGCUACACUGUAAAUCCCGGGUGUCCAGCAGGUAGACGACUAAAUUUCUCAGUCCCCAAAUGCCUGGUGAAUAGUUCAGUCGGCAACCCACAAAACACCUGCUUGUUCUGCGGCAUAACUUUAUGGUAUGAAUCCUCGAUCGUUUACAUCAGCCCUGUAGUAGUUGCCCAGCAGACCACAAGAUGUCAGGUUGGUGGCUGACCUUAGCUAACAAGUCACUGGUUUUCGGAGUCAGGCGACUUAUGAGCUUAACUGCUGUAUCGGGUGUACUAAAGCGCAACGCUGCAGUGCUGUAGCAUUGCAUAUCAUCUUGAGCUGCGGGAGCCAUAGCGCCUUGCGCGCGGAGAGUAGGCAAACCCGCAACACGAAAUCCAUGUCAAAUGCCUCUGCAAAAAUGUCUGGAAGCCACUUAUUGUUUUUUCCUUCAGUUGUAAUAAUAGAGCAUCGUGAUAAGUCUAUUUAUUGCUCACUGCUUGAAGAAAAGUGUUAAGUACUGCCGAUGCCGAUAUAUUGCAAGCUUCACACACUGCGUUGAGUGAAACGUUUUUGUCGUCAAAAAGUCCUCUCAUGUGAGUACUCUGUCGUAAUUUUUUCUACUUUUCAGUUUGGUUUCCUAGAGAAAGGUAUCGGCAAUAUGUUGGCACGACCUGAUUGUGAUACGAAGCAUACCAGUAUAAACAUAUCUAUAUCUGUUGAUUAUUGUGUGAGGUGACUUUCGGCGGUCGUUUUGUUGGCGAUGGCUGCAUUAUCAAAACAGCGCCGUACCGCGAGGUUUUUUUAGUUGGGAGUUCUUUUCCAACAGCGAUUGUUGCAAAGACGAAUAAUGUCUGAAAGCUCAUUUGCGUGUUGUCUGAGCUCUAGGAAAAGCUCAUAUUUCAUUUAUUUUGCAUAUCAUAUUACUCAAAGUAGAAAAUCUAUGCCAUUUUUCUAACGAAUUUCGUUGUAGAAUCAAAUUUGUGUACACCAUGUACCAAUGACAGUUGGUUGUUCUUAUUAUACUGUGUGAUAUUUUCUUUAAUGUCUUAUUUUGUAGGAUCGAUAUUAUGCCGUUAACUGGACCUAUAACAUUUCGUAACAAAAAAUCAUAUCGAGUAUUUCAGUUUAAAUUGUGUCUUUUUAAAAAAUAAAUAAUUUAAACCUACAGUCUUAGACUCCAUAUCACAUGGGAUGGCAUAGUUAUGGUACGAAACUAAUGCAGUAUCCGUCGAUGUACAUAAAGUGCUGUACUCUCAUAUCAGGAUUAAACUAUAAAUAACUUAAAGCAAUGGAUCCUUGAUCGUGAUAUACGCCUUUCUUUCUUGGCGCGUAUUACAGAGUGGUGAUGAGCACUGCACAAAGUUGUGCCAAAGAUGUCACAGGCGUGAGAGAUAGUCGUGCAACUACAGGUCGCGUGUCCACGACUGCACUCGCGUUGUGUUCUCUAACUAUACGUCACUUUUCUAUU